AUCAAAUGGAGAGUUUGAUCCUGGCUCAGGAUGAACGCUGGCGGCAUGCCUAAUACAUGCAAGUCGAACGAAGUCUUCAGGAAGCUUGCUUCCAAAAAGACUUAGUGGCGAACGGGUGAGUAACACGUAGGUAACCUG
Molecule: ribosomal RNA, 138 nt
Filed under: [Clostridium] innocuum
Lineage: Bacteria; Bacillati; Bacillota; Clostridia; Eubacteriales; Clostridiaceae
Description: 16S rRNA. Bacterial SSU
Rfam family: Bacterial small subunit ribosomal RNA
Source: RNAcentral